UAGCGGCGGACGGGUUAGUAACGCGUGGGAACGUACCCUUUUCUACGGAAUAGCCUCGGGAAACUGAGAGUAAUACCGUAUACGCCCUUUGGGGGAAAGAUUUAUCGGAGAAGGAUCGGCCCGCGUUAGAUUAGAUAGUUGGUGGGGUAAUGGCCUACCAAGUCUACGAUCUAUAGCUGGUUUGAGAGGAUGAUCAGCAACACUGGGACUGAGACACGGCCCAGACUCCUACGGGAGGCAGCAGUGGGGAAUCUUAGACAAUGGGCGCAAGCCUGAUCUAGCCAUGCCGCGUGAGUGAAGAAGGCCUUAGGGUCGUAAAGCUCUUUCGCCUGUGAAGAUAAUGACUGUAGCAGGUAAAGAAACCCCGGCUAACUCCGUGCCAGCAGCCGCGGUAAUACGGAGGGGGUUAGCGUUGUUCGGAAUUACUGGGCGUAAAGCGCGCGUAGGCGGACAUUUAAGUCAGAGGUGAAAUCCCAGGGCUCAACCCUGGAACUGCCUUUGAUACUGGGUGUCUUGAGUUCGAGAGAGGUGAGUGGAAUUCCGAGUGUAGAGGUGAAAUUCGUAGAUAUUCGGAGGAACACCAGUGGCGAAGGCGGCUCACUGGCUCGAUACUGACGCUGAGGUGCGAAAGUGUGGGGAGCAAACAGGAUUAGAUACCCUGGUAGUCCACACCGUAAACGAUGAAUGCCAGCCGUCGGGC
This 700-nucleotide ribosomal RNA is filed under the name uncultured Alphaproteobacteria bacterium. RNAcentral's name for it is "bacterial SSU rRNA". It matches the Rfam family "Bacterial small subunit ribosomal RNA", at positions 93 to 828 of the family's 1533-position model. Lineage: Bacteria; Pseudomonadati; Pseudomonadota; Alphaproteobacteria. The record is from RNAcentral.